AACGCAGGGGGCGAGCGUUAUCCGGAUUUAUUGGGCGUAAAGCGCGCGUAGGCGGCAUGUUAAGUUGGACGUGAAAUGUCCUGGCUCAACUGGGAGAGGACGUACAAAACUGACAAGCUUGAGGGUAGAAGAGGAGAGCAGAAUUCCCGGUGUAGUGGUGGAAUUCGUAGAUAUCGUGAGGAAUACCAGUGGCGAAGGCGGCUCUCUGGUCUAACCCUGACGCUGAGGUGCGAAAGCGUGGGGAGCGAACGGG
Molecule: ribosomal RNA, 253 nt
Filed under: uncultured bacterium
Lineage: Bacteria
Description: partial 16S ribosomal RNA
Rfam family: Bacterial small subunit ribosomal RNA
Source: RNAcentral